UCCAUGAUUCAGCGGCGGACGGGUGAGUAAUGCCUAGGAAUCUGCCUAUUAGUGGGGGACAACGUUUCGAAAGGAACGCUAAUACCGCAUACGUCCUACGGGAGAAAGCAGGGGACCUUCGGGCCUUGCGCUAAUAGAUGAGCCUAGGUCGGAUUAGCUAGUUGGUGAGGUAAUGGCUCACCAAGGCGACGAUCCGUAACUGGUCUGAGAGGAUGAUCAGUCACACUGGAACUGAGACACGGUCCAGACUCCUACGGGAGGCAGCAGUGGGGAAUAUUGGACAAUGGGCGAAAGCCUGAUCCAGCCAUGCCGCGUGUGUGAAGAAGGUCUUCGGAUUGUAAAGCACUUUAAGUUGGGAGGAAGGGCAUUAACCUAAUACGUUAGUGUUUUGACGUUACCGACAGAAUAAGCACCGGCUAACUUCGUGCCAGCAGCCGCGGUAAUACGAAGGGUGCAAGCGUUAAUCGGAAUUACUGGGCGUAAAGCGCGCGUAGGUGGUUUGUUAAGUUGGAUGUGAAAGCCCCGGGCUCAACCUGGGAACUGCAUCCAAAACUGGCAAGCUAGAGUAUGGCAGAGGGUGGUGGAAUUUCCUGUGUAGCG
RNAcentral lists this ribosomal RNA (600 nucleotides) under Pseudomonas sp. AT-BI-28. RNAcentral describes it as "bacterial SSU rRNA". It matches the Rfam family "Bacterial small subunit ribosomal RNA", at positions 84 to 680 of the family's 1533-position model. Lineage: Bacteria; Pseudomonadati; Pseudomonadota; Gammaproteobacteria; Pseudomonadales; Pseudomonadaceae. The record is from RNAcentral. RNAcentral also lists the same sequence under 1 other name.